AGGGAUUUAGCUCAGUGGCUUAAGUGCCUGCCUGUCAAGCAUGAGGUCGUGGGUUUGAUCCCCAGUAUCCUCA
Molecule: transfer RNA, 73 nt
Organism: Cavia porcellus (domestic guinea pig)
Lineage: Eukaryota; Metazoa; Chordata; Mammalia; Rodentia; Caviidae
Rfam family: tRNA
About the family: Transfer RNA (tRNA) molecules are approximately 80 nucleotides in length. Their secondary structure includes four short double-helical elements and three loops (D, anti-codon, and T loops). Further hydrogen bonds mediate the characteristic L-shaped molecular structure. tRNAs have two regions of fundamental functional importance: the anti-codon, which is responsible for specific mRNA codon recognition, and the 3' end, to which the tRNAs corresponding amino acid is attached (by aminoacyl-tRNA synthetases). tRNAs cope with the degeneracy of the genetic code in two manners: having more than one tRNA (with a specific anti-codon) for a particular amino acid; and 'wobble' base-pairing, i.e. permitting non-standard base-pairing at the 3rd anti-codon position.
Source: Rfam